This 492-nucleotide ribosomal RNA is filed under the name uncultured bacterium. Its description in RNAcentral is "partial 16S ribosomal RNA". It matches the Rfam family "Bacterial small subunit ribosomal RNA", at positions 29 to 507 of the family's 1533-position model. The record is from RNAcentral.
AGUGAACGCUGGCGGUAGGCCUAACACAUGCAAGUCGAACGGCAGCACAGUAAGAGCUUGCUCUUACGGGUGGCGAGUGGCGGACGGGUGAGGAAUACAUCGGAAUCUACUUUUUCGUGGGGGAUAACGUAGGGAAACUUACGCUAAUACCGCAUACGACCUACGGGUGAAAGCAGGGGAUCUUCGGACCUUGCGCGAUUGAAUGAGCCGAUGUCGGAUUAGCUAGUUGGCGGGGUAAAGGCCCACCAAGGCGACGAUCCGUAGCUGGUCUGAGAGGAUGAUCAGCCACACUGGAACUGAGACACGGUCCAGACUCCUAAGGGAGGCAGCAGUUGGGAAUAUUGGACAAUGGGCGCAAGCCUGAUCCAGCCAUACCGCGUGGGUGAAGAAGGCCUUCGGGUUGUAAAGCCCUUUUGUUGGGAAAGAAAAGCAGCAGGUUAAUACCCCGCUGUUCUGACGGUACCCAAAGAAUAAGCACCGGCUAACUUCGUG